GUGAUGUCUCAUACAAGUUACAUGGCUUCUAUUUUGUAUUACCAAGAAGACAAGUUGUGUUGCAACUGUUUAUGAGGUGCUUACUAUUACAUGUUUUCACAAAUUCAUAAGAUAAACCUAACAGCACUUGGAGUGGAAGACCUUUAAUUCUUCAUUCAACACCUGGACGGACUGGAAGAGUUAACAAAUCCCAUUGAUCAUGACUUAGACUAUGACUGAUUCACUUAGCAGUGCUUGAACAACAUCAAGACCACCUCUGUUUCUUACUCUGCUGUCCCCUGGCGAGAAUGCCAAAGGUGGGUGAGAGUUUGGGACCAGACACAGCCAGGACCACUGACCUCAGCUGACUAAAGGAAUAUCCCAUACUGUGUAACAUCACACUUACCAAUAAACUGAGGAGCAGUCUUUCCAAAGUACCAUUAGAGUCUGUAUGAGGCCAGUCAUUGUUCUGCUGGUAGGAGGUGUUUUCUCCUUCUUUCCUCUGGGGGCAAGGAGUGAGUGAGCAGCUGGUGCUUAGUUGUUAGCUGGGUCAAUCCACCACAGAAGUGAAAGUGAGCUGGAAUAAAAAGAACUACAGAGCAGCUGAGGUGACAAGGCACCUCUGGAGAUCAUCUCAGCCAAAUUCCCUGUUUACAGCUAGGUCAACCAGAGAAAGCUACUCUGGGUUGUGUUCAUUUAUGUUUUUAAUAUCUCCAAGAAGGAAGACUUCACAAACUUUCUGGGCAAUCUUUAUCAGUAAUCAAUCACCCUCAGUAAAAGAGUGAUUCCUAAUGUUCAGGUGUCACAUCCUGUGUUUUAGUUUGUGCCAACUGCUUCUACUCCUGACACUGGGUACCACUGAAAAGAACCUGGCUUCAUACUCUUUGCACUCUCCCUUUAGGUGUUUAUUAAUGUUGAUGAGAUCCCACAGAGCCUUCUCUUGUCCAGGCUGAAGACUUACUCUCCCUCAGUCUCUUCUCACAGGACAAAUGAUCACUUGAGCAUCUUCAUGACUCUUUUCUGGACUCACUUGAUCUGCAUGUCUCUCCAGGGAGCCCAGAACAGGAGACAGCAGUCCAGGCAUGGCCUCACCAGAGCUGGGUAGAACUGCUUUACUUUUUUAAAGGAUUUUGGACUUGAAUGUGAAACUUACAUCUUUGUCAAAUAGUUUACCUUCAGCAACCCAAACUUUGCAAAUUUUUUGUACAUCCUACGAACAAAGGACAAUAGAUAGUGAGUAUAUGGGAGCCCAUGUAAAAAAAGAAACUGUAAGAAAACACAUCAAUGGAAAAGAUCUUUUUAUGGAGCGAUAAGAUUGUAUGACAGAUGAUCUUAGUAAAAUACUAUUCUU
Long non-coding RNA from Pseudopipra pipra, 1330 nucleotides. RefSeq lists it as uncharacterized. NCBI's taxonomy places the organism in Eukaryota, Metazoa, Chordata, Aves, Passeriformes, Pipridae. The record is from RefSeq and is a predicted model, not a curated record. The transcript has 5 exons.